Molecule: non-coding RNA, 6509 nt
Organism: Rattus norvegicus (Norway rat)
Lineage: Eukaryota; Metazoa; Chordata; Mammalia; Rodentia; Muridae
Source: RefSeq, a predicted model, not a curated record
CUGCCCAGCAUCUGUGGUCCAUCCGGAGCAGAGAUCACCUCAUGCUAUUCCAUUCCAUCCUACCUGAGGCAGAGCACGAGUCAUCGCCAUGCUCAGCGUUUCCAUAUGAUAUAUUCCACUCACCCGUCAGUCACUUGGAAGCCAUUUUGGUUAUCAGGUCUCCAGUAGAAGGUAUGGCCCAGAUUAAAGGUAUGUCUCAAGAUCUGGAUUAAAGAGGUAUGUCUUCCAGCCCCAAGAUCUGGAUCAAAAGCUCAUGUCUACCAGCCUCGAGAUGUGGGUCACAGGUGUGCCCUCCAUUUCUGGAUUAUAGUUCAUUCCAGAUACAGUCAGGUUGACAACCAAGAAUAGCCAUCACAAUAGGUAUUUUACCCUCAUAUGUGUUUGUGCACCACUUGCAUGUCUAUGUCCUCAGAGGCCAGAAUUGGACAUCAGAUGUCCUGGAACUGGACAGUUACAGUGUAAGCCACCAUGUGGGUGAUGGGAACCAGACUCAGGAACAUUCAGGAAUCAAACACUGGCUGGAAGCACAGCCAGUGCUCCUAACUGCUGAAUCACCUCUCCUGCCCCGGAUUCACUUCUUUUAUUAUAUGUGUAUGUCUGUGUGUGGGUCCGUACAUAUGAGUACAAUGUCUGUGGCGUCCAUAGGAGGGAGUCCAUUCCCUGGAGUUGAAGGGACAGGCUACUGUGAGCUUCCUAAAAUGCAGACUGAGAACCAUGUAUUAAUUGCUGAUCCACCUAUCCAGACCAUAGUUUAGAUUUGUUUAGAUUAGGGCAAUUAUUUGAUUUCUAGUUACAAUUUAGCCAUUCUGUUCAAAAAUAUGUCUGGAAUUGUUCUAGGAGAAGGUGUCAUGGUUUGGACUAUGAAUUGUCUACCAAAACCCACGUGUUGAAGACUCGGUUCCCCAAACAGCUAGUGAUUCCCAUCACUAAAGGGUGGUCAGGAGGGUUCUGUGAUAAUCAGAUAGAUUCCUAACUCAUUGAUGAUUCAUAAUUUGGUGGGAGGACUUCAUUGGGGAUGUGUCUUUGGAAGGUAUAUCUUCUCUCUGACCCCUUCCAGUCUCCUUCUGCUCCCCAGCCUUCCCCAGAUCCAUACUGACUAGGCCAGUGGGCCACACACUGGGACCUCUGACACCAGGAGCCAAACAACACUCUUAAUCUUGUUUUUCUUUGAGAUGUUUUGUCAACAGUAGCAAAAAGUGACCGACAUACUAGGGAUGGCUAGCAACAAACAGCCGGAGUAUACCAUCAAGGGGCGCACAGACCAGCAAGCACACAGAAGACACAGUCAACAACCAUCCAAUGCUUAAUUACAUCCAGGCAUCUGUAAAGGGAAAGACGCAUAUGGUGGGGGUAUCCCACCUCCUGCUGCAUAAGUAAAAACUGAACCUUUGUUGUAUUGUAUCACUGAGAUGUCAUUGUUCCCUUGACACACAUGCCAAGACUGUGGGGCUGCAGUGUGACAGGAGGGACCAUGGAUUAGUUACUUUUCCAUCACCAUAAUCAGCAUUCCCCGAAGACACUGUUGGAGAGAGACAGCAUUUAUUUUGACUCAUGGUUUCAGAGGUUUUUCAGUCCAUCAUGGUGCUUCCUAUGAUGAUGUGACCAGUCCAUGACAACAGGAGCCUACAGGCAGAAGCUGUUGAUGAUGUAUCAGAAUGCAGAGAGCAAACCAGGAAGGAGGCAGAAAUCACAUGACCCACUCAAGGACCUGCUGCAAGUGAUCUACUUCCGGGUCAGGUAGGCACCUCCCAUCAAGUGGAAAGGUAUUCAAAACCUGAGCCGUAGGGGAGGGACAUUUCAGAUGUAAAUCCAAACACAGCAGGUUGGAGCAGAGCUAUCGAGAUAAACUUGUGGCCUGGGAGAGAAGUCUCUGUGCUGGCAGAAUAGAGGUGGAGUGGUAGACAUCUGGGAGGUAGAAGCACUCUGAGUGACUUGAGUUUCUGGCUUGUAUAGCUGGAUAUCCACCCACCACUCAUUCUUUGUUUUACUUAAUGACUCAGUGGGUGAUUGACACUCCAUCCACUACUGGCAGAUGCCCAUAAGCGAGUUGUCCCCAUUUCUUCUUCAACUUAGAAACUGAGAGAACUGAAUGGGUUCCCCGUGAACUCAAGCUCACAAUCUGCCCAGAAGUUUGUCCACUGGUAAGGGACCUCCUCUCUGGGAGAGAGGAGAGAAAAAGUAGGGAGUCAGGGAAAGAGAAAAUAACAAGAAGUCGUACACACGGACCUUGUGCCCAUCCAGCCUGAGCCACUUUAAUUUCUCACCUGGAUCAACAAAGAGGACCUCAGCUUCUGCCCUUUCUCAACUCGGCCAGAGCGAAUCUGCUAAUGCAGCAGUCAGUCAGGCACAGACUAUGUAUAAUUCAGGGUUUCUCAACCUAUGCACCUUCACCACGUGGGCCAGCAUCAUGGGUGAGGGGAAAGAAAUGCUGUCCUUGGAUGUUUAGCAGCAUCUCAAACCUGUGCCUGCUACAGCCACUGUCACACUCAAGGCCUCCUCAUCUGUGACAAGGAGAAUGGGCAGCAAACACGCCAAAUACUCUUUACUCCAGGCAGUCCUGAAAUGCCUUCUCCUCCUUGCAGAGGGACAAUUCAUGAGCACCCUCUCUUCUCUGAUUCCGCCCCUCCCCCACCUCACCCACUCAGCUUCCUUCCUGCGGGCUGACCCUCCGCCUAGCCCUCUAGCUCAUGAGCUGGGGUCUCAGUCUGAGCUGAGGGCCCUGCUGCUCUUGCUUAGGGAGGAUGCCCCGCCCUAAGAUUUCCAAAGAACUCCCUCCAUCAGUAACUUUGGCUUUUGGCUUAAACGUUACCUUCUCGGUGACGCCAACUCAAGGCGCCUCUUAGGAAAUUAAAAUCUCAGUGCGUUCAUUUGCUAGGAUGGAAUGAGUCAGCGCGGGUUGGGUGAGUUAAAGCAAGGAGUGGGUUUUUACACAGAUCUGGAAGCUAGAAGUACAAAGUCGAGGCGCCUGCAGACCUGGUUUCUCCUAAGGCUCUCAUCAGCCGAAGCCCUUGCUUGUCCUUGCUGGGUGUACAGGCAUCCCAGUUUGUCCGUCCCAAUUCCCUCUUCUGUCCAGGACACUCUUUAACCUAGUCACCCAGAGUUCCAGGGCUCUCUGAGAUCUUAGGGUGUUAAGCUUGCACUUGGGAACUUUAGGGGUGUUACCUUCGGCCCGGGACACUCCAAUGGAUCAGCAAUGAUCAAGCUGGCAUUCUGAAUAGUUUACCUUUUCAUCCAGAUUAUGGUGUCUUUCUCUUCCAGGUCUCCACCAGAAUAUCAUAUUCCAUAAAGCCAGGGAUUUUUGUCAAUCGUAUUCACUGCUACAUUCACAGUGCCUAUUAGCACAUGGCAAACACUUGUUAGAAGUGUUACAGACAGGAGCAAGAACUGCUUCUCCACAUACCAGCUGCACCCUUGGGAAAGAUCACUUCUCUAUUCCUCAGCUCCCUCUCUCAGGCUAAGACAACCCAGAGCAUGAACUCUGGUCUAUUAGCAUAGGGAUGCUAACUUCUAGGUUCUCAAGAAAACCCUGUGAGAGAAAAGUUUCCUUUCAACUGCUUCUAAGGGAGGCACAAUUCCAGAACAUCAAGGUGAGGGAGCAGGAAGUGAGGUAAAGGUAGCUGAGAAGUGAGAAGGGGUUGUGGGGAGGUAGUGUCCAGACAACUGGCCCCCACUCCCUUUCAAAGCCAGGUCACACAGAACUUCUCCAGACAGGCCUCACAGAAAGCACUGGCCUGAGAACAGCCUAAGGCAAGAGGGCUCCCUCCAGCCUUGUGCCUCCCAUUAGCUAGAAGUAGCCGCAGGAGAGUUAAUGCCCUUGCAGCAUAAAGGUCUCAGCUGGUUCUUUAAACAGCCUGGAAGGGAGCCAGACCCUUGGCCCUCUGGAGGAAGGCUUCGUCCCAGUCUGGAAGCAGUAGAGCCUGCAGAGGUUGGCCCUAGGCUGCCAUGAGCGAAGGAAGAAGGGUUGAAAAGAGCCAGUUCUUGUUGCCUGUGGACUGGAAAGACCCCAGCCAGGUGAGCCCGCCAAGAACGUGUCCAAAGCGGGAUAAGUGAGGGAAGCUGCCAGAUUGUGGAGAACAAAGGUUCAGGUAGAGCUGGCCAAAAGUCUCCAAUGGUGAAAGGGGGCUUAGUAGCCCAGUAAAAACAUGCAUAGGUCAUCAGAGCCAGGGGACCUGGGUUUACCUUUGACAGCCCGGACAGACCAUGCCUGUGCUCUGCAGCCAGACCUAGUGGAACCGUUCUAGGCCUAUGUCCAGGUAUGUGUGGACACCAUGGACAGGCUGAAGGCCCAGCUGGGACCAACUCCAUAGUAAUGAUGCAGUGGGAGCCCAGAUCCCGCCCCUCCUCCCCCUCCCAUGCUACCCAGCCUCCCACCAGCUCAUCACUUUGUACACCCUUCCUCAACUCCCACCACCCCCAAAGCUGUCUCCUCAGCUAGAGGAGGGCGUUGCCUGCCACCACUCCCCUUUUGGAGGGCAUUUUUUUUUCCUGUGCAGGUUGCCACCUUGGACCAUGCUUCCCCUUCAGGGCAGACCUCUCCCUCCAGUCUCCGCCCAGUGUCUCCUGGGAAGCCGUACUAGCAGAUCGCACCACUUGAGCGUUGGGAAGGCUGUCUGCGGAACUGUGCCGGGGAGGUCAAAUGAAAAUGGAGUUUGAGUCAAGCAACAGAAAACACAGGGGAUGGAUGGACUUAGAAGCCAAGGCUGACUUUAAACUCUCCCAUGCUACUACAGGAGACUGGCUACGAACCCAGCACAAUAUCAAAAAGCAAGCAUGCACAGAUAAGACUCUCAUAAAAUGAGCUCAGGCCUAUGAAGCAGUUUCAGGAAUACAACAGCCUCUCCGACUUUGCCUUGCCACUUGACUACUGUGUGUUCUGUGGAGAAACCACUCCGUGCUGAACGGAGCAGCCUUCUACCUCCAGCAGUGACUCUUGUCCUUCUCACACACAGCCCGGAUGAAAACACAACCUGCUUCACACAGCUUGUUUGUUGCUAAGUAACCACUUCUUCCUGGUAUGAGUGUGUGACCACCCUUUCUUACUGCAACUUAAUUGCGUGACCUUAACACUGGAGAAUGGAAUUGGAAUGGGGCAGGCGUGGGGGUGGGGCUUCAUUUCUCAUCACCUACACUGUCUGUUAUUGUCCAUGACCCUGAAGAACAUUUCCUGGGAAAAGGUGAAAAAAGGGAGGGGCAGAGGAAGAACUGAGAACACGAGGGAGGUAGGAGGAAGUCUAAUCUCCACCCAGCCACCCCAGAGACCUCCUGGUGACUGCAUGAGCCAGAGAGCAGACAACAACCUUCUGUCCCCUUUCUCCUUCAAACACUGCUAACCCACGGGUCAAGCAUGAGCAUAGGCUUUGAAGCCAGGAAUAGUCACCUCAACCCUUGCCACAGUCCCAAGGGACACAGAGGCCACCAGCAAUACGGCAGCAAUCUCCUCUUUCAAGAGCAAGAGAGAGAUAAGUAAGAGUUUCCUCUUAGGAGCUCUGUCUCACAUUCACUAUGUCCCUGAAGCUGGGGUCUAUGAGGCUAUUGGUGACUGAUGUUUCCCAGAAUUCCAUAGUCAUGCAGGAACCUGUCACUUCUCUCAGGAAAUCGAAUGGUCUGCCCCUAGAUCACUAUAAGUUAUCCACUACCACCAGCUUUAUAGAGGCAUGAUCAAGAAAUAAAGGUGUGUGUGGGCUGGGGGCAUGGCUCAGCUCAGAGAGAGCUCUUGCAUCUCGUGUGUGAGGAUCUACAUGCUUGUAAUCGCAGCACCAGCAAGAUGGGAGACAGCGACAAGGAAGAUCCUGGAAGUUCCCUACUCGGUGACGUUCCAGACCAAUGAAAGACUGUGUCUCAAACAAAAGAGCUAACACCUAAGGUCAUGCCCCUGACCUCCACGCAUGUGUCAUGCAUGUGCACACUGAACGCACAUUUACCCCUCCCACACCCACACAUGCACCCUCAUCUGCAUAUUCCCACAAGACCGCAUGCAGUUAAGGUGUACAUGUUUUGCUCAGCAUUCUCUACACUCAGUCUGUUUAACACAUCUGUGACCUAGCUAUGUGUGUGUGUGAGAUAAUACCUCACACCUACUCCCUUAACACAUAACAAUGAUGUAACCCUGCAUUAGUAAUAAGUGUGGUCACUUUGCUGUACACUGGUUCUCCAGAAGCCAGUCAUCUCAGAACUGCAAGUCCUCCUGUGUUACCCUUGGAUGAACGUCUCCCCCACUUACCUUACCUCUGAUCCUUAAUAAUUAUCCUUCUGCUCUAUCCUGAGGCUCUGACGUUUUCAGAUUCCACUUCUACAAGGAGAUCGUAUGCCCCGUGCAUUACUCAGUCUUCCCAUUGCUGUGACAGAGGUAAUUUAAGGAGGGGGAGGGGCAUUCUGCUUUAAGAAGAUGUGUAGGGAGGGCUGGAGAGAUGGCUCAGUGGUUAAGAGUAUCCGACUGCUCUUCCAGAGGUCCUGAGUUCAAUUCCCAGCAACCACAUGGUGGCUCACAACCAUCUGUAAAGAGAUCCGAU